AAUAGAGGGAGAAUUGUUGUUUUCUGAAAAUGCAAAAGCACAGAAGCAUCGGUUCAAAGUCUUUUAGACAAAGUUCUGAGAAAACUGAACUGUACAGACCCAAAACACCAAUGGGAUCAGCUGAGGAUGCACCCAAAACCCCAUUGGAAUCAGCUGAGGAGGUCAAGCAAUGGGAGGAAGCUAGGUGUCCGAUCUGCAUGGAGCACCCUCAUAAUGCUGUUCUUUUACAAUGUUCUUCUUACGAUAAAGGUUGUCAUCCUUAUAUGUGCAACACGAGCUACCGCCAUUCAAAUUGCCUUGAUCAAUUCUGCAAGUCAUCUGUGUCAUCCCCUUCGACAUUAACAAUACAAGGAAUCCCCAGUGCUAGAUCAAACUUGAAUAGAACUGGGCAAACCAAUAUUUAUGGGAGGGAGUCGGAGCAUAAACUUAGUUGCCCUUUGUGUCGUGGAGAAAUCCAUGGAUGGUUUGUGAUAGAGCCUGCUAGAAAAUUCAUGAAUUCCAAAGCAAGGAUUUGUUCUAAUGCAACUUGUGAUUUUAGUGGGAAUUAUUUAGAACUUAGGAAGCAUGCAAGGUCGAAUCACCCUUCUGUCCGGCCAUCAGAGGUGGAUCCAGAACGGCAGCAUGAUUGGAGAAGGAUGGAACGUGAAAGUGACCUUUCAGACAUAGUUAGUUUGAUCCUUGCUGGAGGAGUAGAAGAAGAAGGUGACCAGACAAGGCUGGAACAUGACAGUGAUUUUUCGGACAUGGUUAGUAUGUUCCAGGCAACAAAUGGGGGAGAAGAAGAG
Molecule: unclassified non-coding RNA, 785 nt
Filed under: Hevea brasiliensis (rubber tree)
Lineage: Eukaryota; Viridiplantae; Streptophyta; Magnoliopsida; Malpighiales; Euphorbiaceae
Source: RNAcentral